RNAcentral lists this ribosomal RNA (1527 nucleotides) under Staphylococcus aureus. RNAcentral describes it as "partial 16S ribosomal RNA". It matches the Rfam family "Bacterial small subunit ribosomal RNA". Lineage: Bacteria; Bacillati; Bacillota; Bacilli; Caryophanales; Staphylococcaceae. The record is from RNAcentral.
AGGAUGAACGCUGGCGGCGUGCCUAAUACAUGCAAGUCGAGCGAACGGACGAGAAGCUUGCUUCUCUGAUGUUAGCGGCGGACGGGUGAGUAACACGUGGAUAACCUACCUAUAAGACUGGGAUAACUUCGGGAAACCGGAGCUAAUACCGGAUAAUAUUUUGAACCGCAUGGUUCAAAAGUGAAAGACGGUCUUGCUGUCACUUAUAGAUGGAUCCGCGCUGCAUUAGCUAGUUGGUAAGGUAACGGCUUACCAAGGCAACGAUGCAUAGCCGACCUGAGAGGGUGAUCGGCCACACUGGAACUGAGACACGGUCCAGACUCCUACGGGAGGCAGCAGUAGGGAAUCUUCCGCAAUGGGCGAAAGCCUGACGGAGCAACGCCGCGUGAGUGAUGAAGGUCUUCGGAUCGUAAAACUCUGUUAUUAGGGAAGAACAUAUGUGUAAGUAACUGUGCACAUCUUGACGGUACCUAAUCAGAAAGCCACGGCUAACUACGUGCCAGCAGCCGCGGUAAUACGUAGGUGGCAAGCGUUAUCCGGAAUUAUUGGGCGUAAAGCGCGCGUAGGCGGUUUUUUAAGUCUGAUGUGAAAGCCCACGGCUCAACCGUGGAGGGUCAUUGGAAACUGGAAAACUUGAGUGCAGAAGAGGAAAGUGGAAUUCCAUGUGUAGCGGUGAAAUGCGCAGAGAUAUGGAGGAACACCAGUGGCGAAGGCGACUUUCUGGUCUGUAACUGACGCUGAUGUGCGAAAGCGUGGGGAUCAAACAGGAUUAGAUACCCUGGUAGUCCACGCCGUAAACGAUGAGUGCUAAGUGUUAGGGGGUUUCCGCCCCUUAGUGCUGCAGCUAACGCAUUAAGCACUCCGCCUGGGGAGUACGACCGCAAGGUUGAAACUCAAAGGAAUUGACGGGGACCCGCACAAGCGGUGGAGCAUGUGGUUUAAUUCGAAGCAACGCGAAGAACCUUACCAAAUCUUGACAUCCUUUGACAACUCUAGAGAUAGAGCCUUCCCCUUCGGGGGACAAAGUGACAGGUGGUGCAUGGUUGUCGUCAGCUCGUGUCGUGAGAUGUUGGGUUAAGUCCCGCAACGAGCGCAACCCUUAAGCUUAGUUGCCAUCAUUAAGUUGGGCACUCUAAGUUGACUGCCGGUGACAAACCGGAGGAAGGUGGGGAUGACGUCAAAUCAUCAUGCCCCUUAUGAUUUGGGCUACACACGUGCUACAAUGGACAAUACAAAGGGCAGCGAAACCGCGAGGUCAAGCAAAUCCCAUAAAGUUGUUCUCAGUUCGGAUUGUAGUCUGCAACUCGACUACAUGAAGCUGGAAUCGCUAGUAAUCGUAGAUCAGCAUGCUACGGUGAAUACGUUCCCGGGUCUUGUACACACCGCCCGUCACACCACGAGAGUUUGUAACACCCGAAGCCGGUGGAGUAACCUUUUAGGAGCUAGCCGUCGAAGGUGGGACAAAUGAUUGGGGUGAAGUCGUAACAAGGUAGCCGUAUCGGAAGGUGCGGCUGGAUCACCUCCUUU